GACGAACGCUGGCGGCGCGCUUAACACAUGCAAGUCGAACGGAAAGGCCUGCUUUCCCUUGUGGCUUGCGGGUACUCGAGUGGCGAACGGGUGAGUAACACGUGAGUGAUCUGCCCCCAACUUGGGUAUAAGCCUGGGAAACUGGGUCUAAUUCCCGAUAGGACUGCAGGGUGGUGCCUGUGGUGGAAAACGAUUUUCUAGUGGUUGGGGUUGAGCUCGCGGCCUAUCAGCUUGUUGGUGGGGUAAUGGCCUACCAAGUCGGCGACGGCUAGUCGGCCUGACAGCGCGGCCGGCCGCAUUGGGUCUGAGUCUCUGCUCAGACCCCUACGGGGGGUAGCAGUGGGGAAUAUGGCACAAUGGGCGGACGCCUGAUGCAGCGGCGCAGCGUGGGGGAUGACGGCCGUCGGGUUGUAAUCGCCUUUCGACCGCGAGGCAGGCACGCGGUUAGAAGCGUGGUGGUGGUAGUGGUAGGAGAAGGACAGGCUAACUACGUG
Molecule: ribosomal RNA, 494 nt
Filed under: uncultured bacterium
Lineage: Bacteria
Description: partial 16S ribosomal RNA
Rfam family: Bacterial small subunit ribosomal RNA
Source: RNAcentral